RNAcentral lists this ribosomal RNA (274 nucleotides) under uncultured bacterium. RNAcentral describes it as "partial 16S ribosomal RNA". It matches the Rfam family "Bacterial small subunit ribosomal RNA", at positions 523 to 796 of the family's 1533-position model. The record is from RNAcentral.
AUACGAAGGGCCCGAGCGUUAAUCGGAAUCACUGGGCUUAAAGCGUACGCAGGCGGACUCGCAGGCAUCUUGUGAAAUCCCUCGGCUCAACCGAGGAACUGCAGGGUGAACCGCGAGUCUUGAGACAAGUAGGGGCUGUCGGAACGCUAGGUGGAGUGGUGAAAUGCGUUGAUAUCUAGCGGAACGCCUAAGGAGAAAUCAGGCAGCUGGGCUUGUUCUGACGCUGAGGUACGAAAGCGUGGGGAGCGAACGGGAUUAGAAACCCCAGUAGUCC